CCUACGGGAGGCAGCAGUGGGGAAUCUUGCGCAAUGGGCGAAAGCCUGACGCAGCAACGCCGCGUGCGGGAUGAAGGCCUUCGGGUUGUAAACCGCUUUUAACAGGAACGAAAAUGACGGUACCUGUAGAAUAAGGUGCGGCCAACUACGUGCCAGCAGCCGCGGUGACACGUAGGCACCAAGCGUUGUCCGGAUUUAUUGGGCGUAAAGAGCUCGUAGGCGGUUCGAUAAGUCGGGUGUGAAAACUCUGGGCUUAACCCAGAGACGCCACUCGAUACUAUUGUGACUAGAGUUCGGUAGGGGAGGCGGGGAAUUCCUAGUGUAGCGGUGAAAUGCGCAGAUAUUAGGAGGAACACCGGUGGCGAAGGCGCCGCUCUGGGCCGAAACUGACGCUGAGGAGCGAAAGCGUGGGUAGCAAACAGGAUUAGAUACCCUGGUAGUCCACGCCGUAAACGGUGGGCACUAGGUGUGGGCUCCAACCAACGGAGUCCGCGCCGUCGCUAACGCAUUAAGUGCCCCGCCUGGGGAGGUACGGCCGCAGUAAACGUUAAAGUAAUAGAGCGNGAGANGCAGCGACACGAGGGAG
RNAcentral lists this ribosomal RNA (586 nucleotides) under uncultured bacterium. RNAcentral describes it as "bacterial SSU rRNA". The stretch from base 1 to 522 matches the Rfam family "Bacterial small subunit ribosomal RNA", at positions 338 to 873 of the family's 1533-position model. The record is from RNAcentral.